UACAGAGGGUGCGAGCGUUAAUCGGAAUUACUGGGCGUAAAGCGUGCGUAGACGGCUAUCUAAGUCGGGUGUGAAAGCCCCGGGCUCAACCUGGGAAUUGCAUUCGAGACUGAAUAGCUAGGGUACGAUAGAGGGAAGUGGAAUUUCCGGUGUAGCGGUGAAAUGCGUAGAUAUCGGAAGGAACAUCAGUGGCGAAAGCGACUUCCUGGACCAGUACCGACGUUCAGGCACGAAAGCGUGGGGAGCAAACAGG
RNAcentral lists this ribosomal RNA (253 nucleotides) under uncultured bacterium. RNAcentral describes it as "partial 16S ribosomal RNA". It matches the Rfam family "Bacterial small subunit ribosomal RNA", at positions 524 to 776 of the family's 1533-position model. The record is from RNAcentral.